RNAcentral lists this ribosomal RNA (378 nucleotides) under uncultured bacterium. RNAcentral describes it as "bacterial SSU rRNA". It matches the Rfam family "Bacterial small subunit ribosomal RNA", at positions 524 to 898 of the family's 1533-position model. The record is from RNAcentral.
GACAGAGGGGGCAAGCGUUGUCCGGAUUGACUGGGCGUACAGCGCGCGCAGGCGGCACAGUAUGUGCCCGGUGACAGCCCACGGCUCAACCGUGGGUCGCCCGAGUACACAGCCGUGCUGGAGGCAGGGAGAGGGUCGUGGAAUGCCCGGUGGAGCGGUGAAAUGCGUAGAGAUCGGGCGGAACACCAGCGGCGAAGGCGGCGACCUGGCCCUGACCUGACGCUGAGGCGCGAGAGCGUGGGGAGCGAACGGGAUUAGAUACCCCGGUAGUCCACGCCGUAAACGAUGUGGAGCCGGUGUUGGGGGGUGAUUGCGCCCCGCAGUGCCCAAGCUUACGCGAUGACUCCACCGCCUGGGAACUACGGCCGCAAGGCUAAA